RNAcentral lists this ribosomal RNA (346 nucleotides) under uncultured bacterium. RNAcentral describes it as "partial 16S ribosomal RNA". It matches the Rfam family "Bacterial small subunit ribosomal RNA", at positions 338 to 698 of the family's 1533-position model. The record is from RNAcentral.
CCUACGGGAGGCAGCAGUGGGGAAUAUUGGGCAAUGGGCGCAAGCCUGACCCAGCAACGCCGCGUGAAGGAAGAAGGCUUUCGGGUUGUAAACUUCUUUUCGCAGGGACGAAGCAAGUGACGGGACCUGAGGAAUAAGCCACGGCUAACGACGGGCCAGCAGCCGCGGUAAUACGUAGGGGGCAAGCGUUAUCCGGAUUGACUGGGUGUAACGGGCGUGUAGGCGGGACAGCAAGGCAGAGGGGAACACCCGGGGCUCAACCUGUGGCCUGCAUUUGAAACUGUUUUUCUUGAGUACUGGAGAGGCAGCCGGAAUUCCUAGUGUCGCGGUGCACUGCGUAGAUAUU